GCUGGUGUAGCUCAGUAGGUAGAGCAGCUGAUUCGUAAUCAGCAGGUCAGCGGUUCGAGUCCGCUCAUCGGCUCCA
This 76-nucleotide transfer RNA is filed under the name Oscillospiraceae bacterium. Its description in RNAcentral is "tRNA-Thr". It matches the Rfam family "tRNA". Rfam says of the family: Transfer RNA (tRNA) molecules are approximately 80 nucleotides in length. Their secondary structure includes four short double-helical elements and three loops (D, anti-codon, and T loops). Further hydrogen bonds mediate the characteristic L-shaped molecular structure. tRNAs have two regions of fundamental functional importance: the anti-codon, which is responsible for specific mRNA codon recognition, and the 3' end, to which the tRNAs corresponding amino acid is attached (by aminoacyl-tRNA synthetases). tRNAs cope with the degeneracy of the genetic code in two manners: having more than one tRNA (with a specific anti-codon) for a particular amino acid; and 'wobble' base-pairing, i.e. permitting non-standard base-pairing at the 3rd anti-codon position. Lineage: Bacteria; Bacillati; Bacillota; Clostridia; Eubacteriales; Oscillospiraceae. The record is from RNAcentral.